CGGUCACUAUUUUUAUGCAGGUUGCUAACAUGCAUCCAAUAUUCAAUCAUUGAUUUUGACGUAUCAAACACUAUUAAUUUGAUGACAACCUUUAGCCUAGAUUAAGUAUGUUAAGAUUCUUCGAUGCUGAUAUUAAUAAAAGGAUAUCAGUGGAUGCUGGUUUUUUUACUAGGUUUAUUCUACCUGAAUUUUUUUCAUGAACGGUGGUCUCUUUCUACAUCUAUUUAUUCGAUUAUUAAAACUUUUUGUGCAAGUAUUUCAAGCGAAUGGUGUGCUUGAUCUGGUUGUUCUAUUAAAUUCUAUCUUAUUCGAUAUCUUUUCCCUGUGUAGCAUGUGAUACAAUGAUAAGAUGGAACCUUUUUACUCUAAGAAGUCUUUCAUUAUCUCCCUCUGACUUGUAAUAGUAGCUUUUCCUGGAACACAAAGAAAUUACAUCGUCAGGUCAUCCCAAAGGGAUGGUUGAGUUAUUGAGAUCUUAAAUUCAAAUUCAGUUACAACACCAAAUGUGAAUGCAUCUGCUCCAACUUUUUGGGGCCAGGUUUACCCAACACUUGUGCUUGUGGAUAUCACAGAUUUUCCUGUGGAUUAGGCGAGGUGUACACAAGAUGUCUAGACACCAUGGCUGUAAUAAAAAAGAUGCACGAUCAUUAAAUUAGUCUAUUCAUUUUCUAAAGACAACAAAUGAUGCUAAAGAUUUCAUUUAUAUGCUUUGCUUGACAGCUUUUUACAUAAGUUUACAACUCUUGCCUGUAAGAUGAAAAAACUAAAACUAAAAAUUGUAAGCUAGCUCUAAUCUGAAGCUCAGACUGCUACUUCAUGGUUCUUCAUUUCAUAGGUUCAAUCGAGAAGUUACAUAAACAAAAUCAUCCUCAUUGCAAGGAAUUGUUAGACCACCCGUUGGAUGAUGAAAUCCAAACUCUUCUUCUGCUUUCCGUAACAAGUUCUGGAACGAAGGAUGAUCCAGGUAUGUUAUUGGCACCAUAUACCUUUUCUUCUCUCUCUUACCUACAUAAACCACAAAAUGUCCUUUCGGGACAUCUGAGGUAUGUUAUUGGCACCAUAUACCUUUCUUCUCUCUCUCACCUACAUAAACUGCAAAAUGUCCUUUCUGAACAUCUGAAUGACUCCUUGUUAGAAGAGACUGCAGUCUGUGGAUUUGCUUGGCACCGGAAAUCAUUGGUAACAAAUGAAAUCCCAUGACUUCUCUUCAACUUUAACAAGGAAAGAGUGUUACAAGAAGUUGAAAACAAGCUUUAAGUGAUAUGUGUUGUAGAAAAAGAAGCUUAUGCUUUUCUGCAUAUGAGUUCUCUGAUGUAGAUAUAGUGAUUGAUCAGAGGAGUUAGUUGAUUUAUUUGUAGUAUAACUCAACAGUGUGGGACCAUAAUUCUCUCUAACAAAGCAUGACAGUGGACUCAAUUGCUUUACAUUAUUGUAGCAGAAAGCUCUGUUUGCUCCCCAACUUGCAGCUAUACGAUAGAAGAACUUUUUUUGAUUUAACAAUACAUUUAUAGCAUAGCACAUAGUUUUCCGACACAAAACCGCGUACUUCUAUGUAGACAGUUUUUCCUUUGUACUAUUUUUUCUAUUUGAUCAUUUAUUGUUUUUGUUACUCUUAUCUUUUCAGUCUUCAGACUGAUGAUACACGUACUCAUGAGGCAUAUUGGGGUCCUUUGUUGUUUGGUUGCUGCUUCUCUAACUUCUAUUGUGACAAAUUGAUGGAAGUGGCUGUGGCUCUAGCCUUUUUUUAAAAAAAUUAUUACAUAGGUGGUAGCGGAAGGGAAAAUGGAGAGGGGAUUACAAGGUGGAGAAUCGAACUCCCACCAUCAAGGUGAAAAUUCAGGUAACUAACCAAUUGAGCUAUUAAGAUUCCCCGCUGUGGCUCUAGGCAUAUUUUACAAUUCCAAUUUCCCCAUUUUUAUAUUUAAAAGCUGGACACUAUGAAUCUCCUCUCUCCCUNN
RNAcentral lists this long non-coding RNA (1958 nucleotides) under Nicotiana benthamiana. Its description in RNAcentral is "long non-coding RNA (NBEN_LNC041176)". The record is from RNAcentral. Lineage: Eukaryota; Viridiplantae; Streptophyta; Magnoliopsida; Solanales; Solanaceae.